Molecule: ribosomal RNA, 497 nt
Filed under: uncultured bacterium
Lineage: Bacteria
Description: partial 16S ribosomal RNA
Rfam family: Bacterial small subunit ribosomal RNA
Source: RNAcentral
GAUGAACGCUGGCGGCGUGCCUAAUACAUGCAAGUCGAGCGAACGGACGAGAAGCUUGCUUUUCUGAUGUUAGCGGUGGACGGGUGAGUAACACGUGGAUAACCUACCUAUAAGACUGGGAUAACUUCGGGAAACCGGAGCUAAUACCGGAUAAUAUUUUGAACCGCAUGGUUCAAAAGUGAAAGACGGUCUUGCUGUCACUUAUAGAUGGAUCCGCGCUGCAUUAGCUAGUUGGUAAGGUAACGGCUUACCAAGGCAACGAUGCAUAGCCGACCUGAGAGGGUGAUCGGCCACACUGGAACUGAGACACGGUCCAGACUCCUACGGGAGGCAGCAGUAGGGAAUCUUCCGCAAUGGGCGAAAGCCUGACGGAGCAACGCCGCGUGAGUGAUGAAGGUCCUCGGAUCGUAAAACUCUGUUAUUAGGGAAGAACAUAUGUGUAAGUAACUGUGCACAUCUUGACGGUACCUAAUCAGAAAGCCACGGCUAACUACGUG